UACGAGGGGGGCGAGCGUUGUUCGGAAUUAUUGGGCGUAAAGGGUGCGUAGGCGGCCUGACAAGUCUGAUGUGAAAUCCCUGGGCUCAACCCAGGGCCUGCAUCGGAAACUGUCGGGCUUGAGUAUGGGAGAGGUGAGUGGAAUUUCCGGUGUAGCGGUGAAAUGCGUAGAGAUCGGAAAGAACACCAACGGCGAAAGCACUCUGCUGGGCCGACACUGACACUGAGAGACGAAAGCUAGGGGAGCGAAUGGG
RNAcentral lists this ribosomal RNA (253 nucleotides) under uncultured bacterium. Its description in RNAcentral is "partial 16S ribosomal RNA". It matches the Rfam family "Bacterial small subunit ribosomal RNA", at positions 524 to 776 of the family's 1533-position model. The record is from RNAcentral.